Molecule: ribosomal RNA, 1372 nt
Filed under: uncultured bacterium
Lineage: Bacteria
Description: bacterial SSU rRNA
Rfam family: Bacterial small subunit ribosomal RNA
Source: RNAcentral
GAUGAACGCUGGCGGCGUGCCUAAUACAUGCAAGUCGAGCGAACAGACAAGGAGCUUGCUCCUUUGACGUUAGCGGCGGACGGGUGAGUAACACGUGGGUAACCUACCUAUAAGACUGGGAUAACUUCGGGAAACCGGAGCUAAUACCGGAUAAUAUUUCGAACCGCAUGGUUCGAUAGUGAAAGAUGGUUUUGCUAUCACUUAUAGAUGGACCCGCGCCGUAUUAGCUAGUUGGUAAGGUAACGGCUUACCAAGGCGACGAUACGUAGCCGACCUGAGAGGGUGAUCGGCCACACUGGAACUGAGACACGGUCCAGACUCCUACGGGAGGCAGCAGUAGGGAAUCUUCCGCAAUGGGCGAAAGCCUGACGGAGCAACGCCGCGUGAGUGAUGAAGGUCUUCGGAUCGUAAAACUCUGUUAUUAGGGAAGAACAUACGUGUAAGUAACUAUGCACGUCUUGACGGUACCUAAUCAGAAAGCCACGGCUAACUACGUGCCAGCAGCCGCGGUAAUACGUAGGUGGCAAGCGUUAUCCGGAAUUAUUGGGCGUAAAGCGCGCGUAGGCGGUUUUUUAAGUCUGAUGUGAAAGCCCACGGCUCAACCGUGGAGGGUCAUUGGAAACUGUAAAACUUGAGUGCAGAAGAGGAAAGUGGAAUUCCAUGUGUAGCGGUGAAAUGCGCAGAGAUAUGGAGGAACACCAGUGGCGAAGGCGACUUUCUGGUCUGUAACUGACGCUGAUGUGCGAAAGCGUGGGGAUCAAACAGGAUUAGAUACCCUGGUAGUCCACGCCGUAAACGAUGAGUGCUAAGUGUUAGGGGGUUUCCGCCCCUUAGUGCUGCAGCUAACGCAUUAAGCACUCCGCCUGGGGAGUACGACCGCAAGGUUGAAACUCAAAGGAAUUGACGGGGACCCGCACAAGCGGUGGAGCAUGUGGUUUAAUUCGAAGCAACGCGAAGAACCUUACCAAAUCUUGACAUCCUUUGACCACUCUAGAGAUAGAGCCUUCCCCUUCGGGGGACAAAGUGACAGGUGGUGCAUGGUUGUCGUCAGCUCGUGUCGUGAGAUGUUGGGUUAAGUCCCGCAACGAGCGCAACCCUUAAGCUUAGUUGCCAUCAUUAAGUUGGGCACUCUAAGUUGACUGCCGGUGACAAACCGGAGGAAGGUGGGGAUGACGUCAAAUCAUCAUGCCCCUUAUGAUUUGGGCUACACACGUGCUACAAUGGACAAUACAAAGGGCAGCGAAACCGCGAGGUCAAGCAAAUCCCAUAAAGUUGUUCUCAGUUCGGAUUGUAGUCUGCAACUCGACUACAUGAAGCUGGAAUCGCUAGUAAUCGUAGAUCAGCAUGCUACGGUGAAUACGUUCCCGGGUCU